UCGAGGAAAUUUUUCAAUGUUCGAAAGAGUGAAAGAGUGAGUCAGAGUGUUUCCUUUCAGGAAACUUUUCUUUGCUGUAGAUAGGCAGAGGAAUAAGGACUGGGCAAGACCGGUGCCAGCCGCCGCGGUAAUCCCGGCGGUCCGAGUCGCAUCCACAAUUAUUGGGUCUAAAACAUCCGUAGCUUGUUUUGUAAGUCUCUUGUGAAAUCUCAAAUCUCAAGUUUGAGGCGUGCAAGAGAUACUGCAAGGCUAUUUGAGACCGGAAGACGUAAAGAGUACGAUUGAGGUAGUGGUAAAAUAUGUUAAUCUUGAUCGGACUAACAGUGGCGAAGGCGCUUUACGAGUACGGAUCUGACAGUGAGGGAUGAAGGCUAGGGGCGCAAAAGGG
Molecule: ribosomal RNA, 388 nt
Filed under: uncultured euryarchaeote
Lineage: Archaea; Methanobacteriati; Methanobacteriota
Description: bacterial SSU rRNA
Rfam family: Archaeal small subunit ribosomal RNA
Source: RNAcentral